RNAcentral lists this ribosomal RNA (484 nucleotides) under uncultured bacterium. Its description in RNAcentral is "partial 16S ribosomal RNA". It matches the Rfam family "Bacterial small subunit ribosomal RNA", at positions 30 to 507 of the family's 1533-position model. The record is from RNAcentral.
AUUGAACGCUGGCGGCAGGCCUAACACAUGCAAGUCGAGCGGAUGAAGGGAGCUUGCUCCUGGAUUCAGCGGCGGACGGGGGAGUAAUGCCUAGGAAUCUGCCUGGUAGUGGGGGAUAACGUCCGGAAACGGGCGCUAAUACCGCAUACGUCCUGAGGGAGAAAGUGGGGGAUCGUCGGACCUCACGCUAUCAGAGGAGCCUAGGUCGGAUUAGCUAGUUGGUGGGGUAAAGGCCUACCAAGGCGACGAUCCGUAACUGGUCUGAGAGGAUGAUCAGUCACACUGGAACUUGGACACGGUCCAGACUCCUACGGGAGGCAGCAGUGGGGAAUAUUGGACAAUGGGCGAAAGCCUGAUCCAGCCAUGCCGCGUGUGUGAAGAAGGUCUUCGGAUUGUAAAGCACUUUAAGUUGGGAGGAAGGGCAGUAAGUUAAUACCUUGCUGUUUUGACGUUACCAACAGAAUAAGCACCGGCUAACUUCGUG